GAUUCCGGCCACCUCCGGUCCCCAUUUCGCCGUCGAAGGACGUGAGGAGGAUUUCCUCGAGGAGGGUUUGGAUCGACGGCAGGCUUAGCCGUACUUUAUCACAGUAUUGCUGACCGGCAUAGGAGUGGAGGCUAGUACCAUCUUUGUCAUCCAUUCUCAGUAGGUUAUUGAUUAACCUACUUAUUGUACUAUAUUUCGAGUGUGUUCCUUAGAUUGCUCUGAAUACUUGUAGAGAGUGGAUUUAUACAUUUGUAUAAUUAUGUGUGUAAGAGAGUGGUCUAAUUUGGGAGGAAGUUGAAUGAUUUGAAUUUGUAUAAGAUGUUAAGAUUGUGGAGAAGCAGGGUGGCUUCAAGCAUAGCAUUUAGAGUAUUGAGAAGUGUUUUCAGCAGGUUUAGGGUUGCCCAUUUUUAG
RNAcentral lists this long non-coding RNA (411 nucleotides) under Rosa chinensis. RNAcentral's name for it is "sRNA RchiOBHm_Chr7g0235591". Lineage: Eukaryota; Viridiplantae; Streptophyta; Magnoliopsida; Rosales; Rosaceae. The record is from RNAcentral.